CCUACGGGCGGCAGCAGUGAGGAAUAUUGGUCAAUGGCCGAGAGGCUGAACCAGCCAAGUCGCGUGAGGGAAGACGGCCCUACGGGUGGUAAACCUCUUUUGUCGGGGAGCAAAGCGAACCACGUGUGGUUCAUUGAGAGUACCCGAAGAAAACGGAUCGGCUAACUCCGUGCCAGCCGCCGCGGUAAUACGGAGGAUGCGAGCGUUAUCCGGCUUUCUUGGGUUUAAAGGGUGCGCAGGCGGAGUUGCAAGUCCCCGGUCAAAUUGCGGGGCUCAACCCCGUACUGCCGUUGAAACUGCAUCCCUUGAGGGCGCGAGAAGUAUGCGGAAUGCGUGGUGUAGCGGUGAAAUGCAUAGAUAUCACGCAGAACUCCGAUUGCGAAGGCAGCAUACCGGCGCGCAACUGACGCUCAUGCACGAAAGCGUGGGUAUCGAACAGGAUUAGAUACCCGAGUAGUC
RNAcentral lists this ribosomal RNA (459 nucleotides) under uncultured bacterium. Its description in RNAcentral is "partial 16S ribosomal RNA". It matches the Rfam family "Bacterial small subunit ribosomal RNA", at positions 338 to 795 of the family's 1533-position model. The record is from RNAcentral.